This 254-nucleotide ribosomal RNA is filed under the name uncultured bacterium. RNAcentral's name for it is "partial 16S ribosomal RNA". It matches the Rfam family "Bacterial small subunit ribosomal RNA", at positions 524 to 776 of the family's 1533-position model. The record is from RNAcentral.
UACGUAGGGUGCAAGCGUUUGUCCGGAAUUAUUGGGCGUAAAGAGCUCGUAGGCGGUUUGUCGCGUCGAAAUGUGAAAACCCGGGGCUCAACCCCGGGCCUGCAUUCGAUACGGGCAGACUAGAGUUCGGUAGGGGAGUCUGGAAUUCCUGGUGUAGCGGUGAAAUGCGCAGAUAUCAGGAGGAACACCGGUGGCGAAGGCGGGACUCUGGGCCGAUACUGACGUGAGGAGCGAAAGCGUGGGGAGCAAACAGG